Cicer arietinum (chickpea) is the source of this 106-nucleotide non-coding RNA. The record is from Rfam. Lineage: Eukaryota; Viridiplantae; Streptophyta; Magnoliopsida; Fabales; Fabaceae.
GGUGCAAUGAUGAGAUGGAAACCCAGUGUUUUUGGCCAGUGGACAUAACCAUUAGGUUUUGCCGCGAGCCUGUUUUAUAACGAAAUAUCUCCUUCCACUGAACACU